Ornithorhynchus anatinus (platypus) is the source of this 334-nucleotide long non-coding RNA. RefSeq lists it as uncharacterized. The transcript has 3 exons. The record is from RefSeq and is a predicted model, not a curated record. Lineage: Eukaryota; Metazoa; Chordata; Mammalia; Monotremata; Ornithorhynchidae.
GGAGUGCAGAGUAUGCACACAACUCCUAAAUGAAGCAACGGGGAGAAAAAUUUCUGAAAUUCAAGUCCAACUGUUCAGAAAAUCCUACCUUUGCAAGGUGCAAUUUCAGAGGAAUGGGCUGCAAGGACAAAACCAGUCGAGUGAAGAAUUGCAAUGAUCGGAGAAUCAGUAAAAACAUCUGUGUAAAAACAGAACAAAAGAGAAUGAAGCAAAACGUCAAUCUCUCUGAUGGACGCAAGGUCACUUGGAAACUUCUAUUAAUACCAUCUUCCCACCUUGUGCAUAUCCUCAGUGACUUCCUUAUGAAAACGCUUGAUUGUUCUCCGGAGAUAAG